AUUGAACGCUGUCGGCAGGCCUAACACAUGCAAGUCGAGCGAGCGGCGGACGGGUGAGUAAUGUAUGGGGAUCUGCCCGAUGGAGGGGGAUAACUACUGGAAACGUUGGCUAAUACCGCAUACUAUCUGAUUUACCCAUAGGGGAUUAGCUAGUAGGUUGGGUAAAGGCUCACCUAGGCGACGAGAUCUAGCUGGUCUGAGAGGAUGACAAGCCACAGUGGAACUGAGACACGGGCCAGAAUCCUACGGGGGGCAGCAGUGGGGAAAAUUGCAAAAUGGGCGCAAGCAUGAUGCAGAAAAGCCGCGUGUAUGAAGAAGAAAUUAGGGUUGUAAAGUACUUUCAGCGGGGAGGCGUUACGCGAAGAAGAAGAACAGGCUAAAUCCGUGACAGCAGCAGCGGUAAUAC
This 406-nucleotide ribosomal RNA is filed under the name uncultured bacterium. RNAcentral describes it as "partial 16S ribosomal RNA". It matches the Rfam family "Bacterial small subunit ribosomal RNA", at positions 29 to 526 of the family's 1533-position model. The record is from RNAcentral.